UUUAUCGGAGAGUUUGAUCCUGGCUCAGGACGAACGCUGGCGGCGUGCCUAAUACAUGCAAGUCGAGCGGACAGAUGGGAGCUUGCUCCCUGAUGUUAGCGGCGGACGGGUGAGUAACACGUGGGUAACUUGCCUGUAAGACUGGGAUAACUCCGGGAAACCGGGGCUAAUACCGGAUGGUUGUUUGAACCGCAUGGUUCAGACAUAAAAGGUGGCUUCGGCUACCACUUACAGAUGGACCCGCGGCGCAUUAGCUAGUUGGUGAGGUAACGGCUCACCAAGGCAACGAUGCGUAGCCGACCUGAGAGGGUGAUCGGCCACACUGGGACUGAGACACGGCCCAGACUCCUACGGGAGGCAGCAGUAGGGAAUCUUCCGCAAUGGACGAAAGUCUGACGGAGCAACGCCGCGU
RNAcentral lists this ribosomal RNA (412 nucleotides) under Bacillus velezensis. RNAcentral's name for it is "bacterial SSU rRNA". It matches the Rfam family "Bacterial small subunit ribosomal RNA", at positions 1 to 402 of the family's 1533-position model. Lineage: Bacteria; Bacillati; Bacillota; Bacilli; Caryophanales; Bacillaceae. The record is from RNAcentral.